Long non-coding RNA from Populus nigra (black poplar), 2393 nucleotides. RefSeq lists it as uncharacterized. Lineage: Eukaryota; Viridiplantae; Streptophyta; Magnoliopsida; Malpighiales; Salicaceae. The record is from RefSeq and is a predicted model, not a curated record. The transcript is spliced from 2 exons.
AAAGGGGAAGAAGAAGAAGAGAAAAAGAGGGAAAUUAGAAGGGAAAUAGAAAGGAAUUGAAGAAAAUAAGUUAAAAGUGUAAGAUUUAUGCUUUAAUGUGUAUAAUAUGUUAUUUGAACUUUAAAUUUUGGUUUUGAUGAAUGUUAGGGUUUUGAAGAUUAUGUUUUGGGUUUGAUUGAUGAAUUAAUUUGAAUGUUAGGGUUUGAUUGUCGUGGGUAAUUGAUUAUUUAGUUGAUUAUGAAAGAUUUUGAUGAUUUUGAGUUAUGAAUUGUGUAAAUGGUAAAUUUUGAGUUAGAAAUUUGGAAAGAACAGUAGAUUUUCUUUUUAAAUUCUGGGUUGGAGGUUGAAGAUGACGAAAAUUCAAUUUGGUCCCUCAAUUUGCGAAAUUACAGUUUAGUCCCCAAACUUUGGACAAUUACAAAUUGGUCCCUGGAGCAUAUUCCGAGAUUCUGAACAGAAUAAAAUAUGAAUUAUGGGCAGAAUUAAAGUAUAUUUAUGAAUUUUAAACACUUUCAAUUUGGUCCUCCAAUUUGACAAAAAUUACCAUUUGACCCUAAAAAUUUGGUAAAAUUCCAGAAUGAUCCCUGGAGCAUAAUGAGAUAUUCUGGACAGAAUUGAGGAUUAAUUAUGGUCAGAAUUUCAUUAUAUUCAUGGAUUUAUGACAAAUUUUAGUUUGGUCCUCCAUUUGAUAAAAAUUACAAUUUGACCCUAAAAAUUUGAAAAAUUCGAGAAUGGUCCUUGGAGCAUAAAUAGAGGUUCUGGACAGAAACGAGGGUGAAUUAUGGACAUAAUUCCACUAUAGUCAUGAAUUUAUGAUAUAUUUAGUUUGGUCCUCCAAUUAGACGAAAAUUACAAUUUGGCCCUAAAAAUAUGAUAAAUUCCAGAUUGGUCCCUAGCUGCAAUAUUAGCCUUUUCAGAUUGGUUUGAUGAAUAAAUGAUGGUUAUUUAGUGAAUUAUUAUCAAGUCUUAUUAUUUUUUUUUAUUAUGGAUUAGAUUUCGGGAAAGCCGUUAAUUUUUGAGUUUUUAGGAAAAUUGACUAGUUAGUUUAAAAACAUAUAGGGUUACGGAAUACACCUUUAGUUAAGUGUAUUAAAUAGGUUAAAUAUUCUUUUGAGUCGUUCUUGAAUAUGUUUCCUUUGUAUUCAGAUAAUCCUGAUAUUCUACCAGCGGGAUGUCAGUAGGAUUUUCUUCGAUGUUUGCCUUUGACUUCUGUUUGCUUUCGAGUCAGGUGAGUGGAUAAUUUUCCAUAUGCAUGAGAAGUAUUAUAAAUAUUUGAUUUGUUAAUAUGAAUUGGAUCAUGCUUAUUGAUAAUAUAUAUGUUGAUUAUUAUCCUUGUUAUGAUAAAGCAUGAUCAAUUAUUAAAUCUGAAUUCUUGAUAUAUGAACCAGUAUAUAUUUUGAAUUGACUUCUGAAUUGAUAGCUCCUCAUUUGAUUGAUAUCAUGAGUUGAGCUUUGAGAUACGAAUAUGUUUGUUUGAUUAUGAUUAUGAACCUAUGGUAUGUCAGUCAGAAUACUCAUGCUAACAGGGUAGUGUUAGUCUUUGUGCACAUCGUAUCUGAACCCUAGUUGGUGGGGGGAGUCACCAACCUGUGUGGACUGAUCAUCCCACAGUACGGAGCCUCAUGCUCAUUGCAUUUUGAUUUUCUAACGAGCUUUACCUUAUGAUAUUCUUGUUAUGGCCUAUUUGAUAAACCUUCCUAUAAGAACCCAGAGUCAUACUUGUAUAUAUAAUUCUCAUUGUUGUAUUACCUCGUGUGUGUAUAUUGAACGUUAUCUACUCACUGAGUUAUUGAACUCACCCUCUUAUUAUUUAUCUUUUCAGGCUUAUAGCUUGAUAGCGGGUUACUUUUAUUGAACCUUUCGAACCUGCUUUUUUGUUGUAAUUUGUACCUUCCUUUUAUGUCUAGUUAGUGCUCCAAAACUAUGAAAUUAUAUUAACUCUUGUAUUAAGACAAUGAAAUUAUAUUAUGAAGUUAGUUUGUUGUUAAUGCUGCGUUGAAUUCUUAUUGAGUUGUUUAAAGGAUAAGAUUGUAUGUAAGUUUGGGUUCGUAUAGGUAUAGAACCUUGGAGGGAACCUUGCCUAUAUACCGGUCAUGGAUCCGGGAAUCAGGUUGUGACAUUUGUCGCUCUCAUUAAUGGUUUUCUGGUGUUCACAGUGGCUGUUGAGCUCAUACAACAGUACUCAAUUACUUCUGAUGGUGUUUCUUGCCAUAGUUUCUCUAUUUUUGGGUACCAUGCCAACCUUUGUCUCACAAACACUACAACAAAUGAGACCUUCAAGUGGGAAGACUACAUAAGCUGGCAAAGGAAGCUAAAUGAAGCAAGGGUUAGUGCUGCAGCACUUAAAGCAAGCAUCAGUGGGAUGAGCAGUGAAGCAAAGCGUCCAGAGAGCA